Molecule: long non-coding RNA, 1536 nt
Filed under: Hordeum vulgare
Lineage: Eukaryota; Viridiplantae; Streptophyta; Magnoliopsida; Poales; Poaceae
Description: long non-coding RNA (HVUL_LNC003624)
Source: RNAcentral
AAAAUUAUAUAUCUACUAGAAAGGAAAAAUAUCUCCUCUACCACGUCUUUAGUGAUCCAAAAUUAUAUCUCUACUAAAAAGGAGAAAGAUCUCCUCUACUACGUCUUCUCCGAUCCAGCGUCGACGACUUUUAGCGGCUGCCGUGAAACUCCUCUCCCAUGGCCCUGAUUGUUUAAUUCCACGGUGUCCAACAACAGUAAUUGUCUCUGCAUAUUAUUCACACCGUCAGUUUUUGGCGCCGCCUCAUCGGCAACAGCCGGCACUCCGGCCAGGUUCUCUAUACGAACGUCCUGCCAAUCUGAUGCAGCAUCAAACAAAGCGCAAUUCAUUUUCUAAUUGAUCUACAAGCAUGAUACAUCUCUGUCCGUCUCAGCCUCUUAGGUAAAAAGAAGUAAUUCUUUUUUGUACCAGGUGAGCACCAUCAACUUGAUCACAUGGCCGUCUUCCUCCAUCCGAUCUACUACAUGCUAGGAAGUCGGCUAACCCAGCGACUUUAUCAUUUACAUAAUUUUGUUUUGCUGGACCUAUUUUUCUAAGCCAAUCAAUGAAGGGGCUUCUGCUACUACUACCUUCGGCUCCAACAAACUAUGUGCAAUGUAGAUACGUACGGUAGUCAUUAGGGCAUUUUCAUUAUUUCGAGAACAAGGCUGGAAAGGUACGUACAGUUCAAGCAUCUCAUAAUAAUUUGUGAGAAAGAACAUUACCAUGGUUUCCCUUACAUUGUAAUUGGUAAUUUUCAUUUAAUUUUCAUUAUAAAGAUUUUCUCAUUUUCUUCUGAACUAUGAGGCUUGCUCUAGCGCGUAAGUUGAAGUACUUCUUCCAUCAUCAAGAACUACCUCGGACUCCUCCCAGCCUGUCUCACAUCAACAAGAAAUACAACAACAAGAAAGCCGAUGGAAUCACUACAUAUUCCCAUAUUCCAAUUAAGCAGCUAGCUGUGAGGUAGGUUUAUACUACUGGAGGGAGAAGUUAUAAAACCGAGAUUUAUACUACUGGAACUUGAUGUACUAUCCUCACUUUGUGUCAUAUUGCAGGCUUGCUCUCAGUUAUGAGGAUUCAUCGACAAUGUAAAUUUGUGGGUAUUAGCUAGUUACUUAAUCAUCAUUUUUAUGUAUUUUUUUUAGAUUUAUUGAAGCACAAUGUAUUGUAUGCGUGCAAUUGCAUGGUUGGUUUUCGUAAAGAUCGCAAAAAUAUUAAGUUUAAUGGAAUUGGAAACCAUCUCCAUACAGUUGUAGUUCUUAGCAUGAUAUUGCAUUUUCAGUUUUGCAUUUGGGAAUGGUGUAUGAGGAAGUCUGGCAUGGAUUCUUAAAAUUAUCACAUCUGGAUUCUCAUGUGUAUAACAUAUGUUCUUCUCUUGCACUUUAUCUGAUAUGUUGUACGGUGCAUUUAGCAGUGUGUAGUUCAAGAUUUUCUCCAACUUCAACUGAAGUACCAAAUUUUAUAUUGUGUGAGUGUCGUCUCCAUAUAUUCGGUAGGUUUGUAAUGAGAUCAAAUUCACUUGGACACUAUAGUAUCCAUUCUGAUUAUUCUAAUUGU